RNAcentral lists this unclassified non-coding RNA (255 nucleotides) under Hevea brasiliensis (rubber tree). Lineage: Eukaryota; Viridiplantae; Streptophyta; Magnoliopsida; Malpighiales; Euphorbiaceae. The record is from RNAcentral.
GGAUUUUGCAGGAACAUAUGGAGUUUUGGUGCUCUUUGGAAUAUUUCCUGCUGCAAUGGCUUGGUCAGAUAGAUACUCAAGUUCAUCGCCAUCAAUAAAACUGCCACAGCUACUCCCUGGUGGAAGAGUAACCCUUUCUUUCGUGAUGGGAGGUGCAGCAUACAUCAUUCUUUCUGAAAUACUGGAGAAAUUUGGGCACCCUUAAUUAUCAAGAAACAAAUGAUCUUAUAGCUUAUGAUCCUUCAGAGCCUCCCC